UGUGGGAGCUGGCUUGCCUGCGAUAGCGGUGGCUCAGUUAGCGCUUAGGGCACUGAUACACCGCUAUCGCAGGCAAGCCAGCUCCCACA
RNAcentral lists this unclassified non-coding RNA (89 nucleotides) under Pseudomonas libanensis. Lineage: Bacteria; Pseudomonadati; Pseudomonadota; Gammaproteobacteria; Pseudomonadales; Pseudomonadaceae. The record is from RNAcentral.